UACGUAGGAGGCGAGCGUUGUCCGGAUUUACUGGGCGUAAAGCGCGCGCAGGCGGCACUUCAAGUAAGGUGUGAAAUCUCCCUGCUCAACGGGGAGGGUGCACUUUAGACUGAGGAGCUAGAGGCCGGUAGAGGGGGGUGGAAUUGCUGGUGUAGCGGUGAAAUGCGUAGAGAUCAGCAGGAACACCCGUGGCGAAGGCGGCCCCCUGGGCCGUACCUGACGCUGAGGCGCGAAGGCUAGGGGAGCGAACGGG
Molecule: ribosomal RNA, 253 nt
Filed under: uncultured bacterium
Lineage: Bacteria
Description: partial 16S ribosomal RNA
Rfam family: Bacterial small subunit ribosomal RNA
Source: RNAcentral